UACCCAUUGUGCUAUUGGCUCGGUUCAUUCAGACAUAACAACCACCAUAUUCCAAUGUUGUCAAUCUUUGAUUGAGCCGUGCCAAUAUCUCAUUGCUAUUU
Glycine max (soybean) is the source of this 101-nucleotide non-coding RNA. Lineage: Eukaryota; Viridiplantae; Streptophyta; Magnoliopsida; Fabales; Fabaceae. The record is from Rfam.